RNAcentral lists this ribosomal RNA (442 nucleotides) under uncultured bacterium. RNAcentral's name for it is "bacterial SSU rRNA". It matches the Rfam family "Bacterial small subunit ribosomal RNA", at positions 28 to 470 of the family's 1533-position model. The record is from RNAcentral.
GAUGAACGCUAGCGGAAGGCUUAAUACAUGCAAGUCGAGCGGUAGGUGGCUUCGGCCAUUGAGAGCGGCGCACGGGUGAGUAACGCGUACAUGACCUGCCUGUCAGAAGGGGAUAGCCCUGGGAAACUGGGAUUUAAUACCCCUAUGGUAUUGAUAUUAUGAAUGAUAUCAAUUAAAGUUGAGGCGCUGACAGAUGGAUGUGCGUCUGAUUAGCUAGUUGGUAGGGUAACGGCCUACCAAGGCGACGAUCAGUAGGGGGCGUGAGAGCGUGGUCCCCCCACACGGGGUACUGAGACACGGACCCGACUCCUACGGGAGGCAGCAGUAAGGAAUAUUGGUCAAUGCCCGCAAGGGUGAACCAGCCAUUCCGCGUGGAGAUGAAGGCCCUAUGGGUUGUAAACUUCUUUUAGAUGGGAAGAAAAUGCUAGAUGUAUCUGGUACU